UACGUAGGGUGCGAGCGUUGUCCGGAAUUAUUGGGCGUAAAGGGCUCGUAGGCGGUUUGUCGCGUCGGGAGUGAAAACACUGGGCUUAACUCAGUGCUUGCUUUCGAUACGGGCAGACUAGAGGUAUGCAGGGGAGAACGGAAUUCCUGGUGUAGCGGUGAAAUGCGUAGAUAUCUGGAGGAACACCGGUGGCGAAGGCGGCAUCCUGGACCGGCACUGACGCUGAGGAGCGAAAGCCAGGGGAGCAAAGCGGG
RNAcentral lists this ribosomal RNA (254 nucleotides) under uncultured bacterium. RNAcentral describes it as "partial 16S ribosomal RNA". It matches the Rfam family "Bacterial small subunit ribosomal RNA", at positions 524 to 777 of the family's 1533-position model. The record is from RNAcentral.